Molecule: ribosomal RNA, 420 nt
Filed under: uncultured bacterium
Lineage: Bacteria
Description: bacterial SSU rRNA
Rfam family: Bacterial small subunit ribosomal RNA
Source: RNAcentral
GAGGAAUAUUGGUCAAUGGGCGCAAGCCUGAACCAGCCAUCCCGCGUGCAGGAUGACGGCCCUAUGGGUUGUAAACUGCUUUUAUACACCAAGAAAAAUCCCCACGUGUGGGGACCCGACGGUAGUGUAUGAAUAAGCAUCGGCUAACUCCGUGCCAGCAGCCGCGGUAAUACGGAGGAUGCGAGCGUUAUCCGGAUUCAUUGGGUUUAAAGGGUGCGUAGGCGGCUUUUUAAGUCAGUGGUGAAAUCCUGCCGCUUAACGGUAGAAUUGCCAUUGAUACUGAAGAGCUUGAGUACAAUUGAGGUAAGCGGAAUGUGUAGUGUAGCGGUGAAAUGCUUAGAUAUUACACAGAACACCGAUUGCGAAGGCAGCUUACUAAACUGUCACUGACGCUGAUGCACGAAAGCGUGGGGAGCGAAC